RNAcentral lists this unclassified non-coding RNA (683 nucleotides) under Hevea brasiliensis (rubber tree). The record is from RNAcentral. Lineage: Eukaryota; Viridiplantae; Streptophyta; Magnoliopsida; Malpighiales; Euphorbiaceae.
CGGGGACAAGGUGUUUGGUAGUUGUAACACAGAUAGCUUUGUUCUGAAGGAUCGACCCUGCAGUGUCCAAAUCAGUUACAUGUAUAUCUAUAAGGAUGGGGCUGACGAUUGGGUUCCAAACUCUGUUGAAAUCUCUGGCUCUGGAAUCAAACCCCUUCUGUUCAUCUACAAAUCUUCCAUCCCAAGAAACACUUGGUUUGGCUAUGAUUUGCGCCAAUAUACUUUCCCACCGCCGCCCUCCUACGACCCGGCCCCUCCUCUUCCCUGGUUGUCUUCUCCUCCUCCUCCUUCCCAUCCCCUGCUACCACCGCCGGAGCCAAUUCUUCCACCGUUUCCUCCUCCACAUAAGCCUGUUCUUCCCCCACCGCCUCCUCCUACUCCUUCAUCGUCCUCCAGCAAAAUCUCAGGUCAGAAAUGGGGUAUGGCAUCUGUGUUUUUGGGAUUGUUGACUGCCCUUCUGUGAUUCUGCAGCAGCUGCUUGCUUGCUUUAUGUAGUAGUUUAUUAGUAGGUAGAUUUUGUAGUGAUGGGUGGGUGUUAUGUUAAAGUUUCUUUCCCCAUUUCGCCAUGUUGUAGGGAUCUAUGUAAGCUUUCAAAGCUUUUGUCUUUUCAGCUGUAUGAGACUGGUGCAAUUCAACAGCUACUGCUUGUUUUAUGUGGCUGUUGGUUGAGAAUGGUGGGUGUA